AAACGACUCUCGGCAACGGAUAUCCCGGCUCUCGCAUCGAUGAAGAACGUAGCGAAAUGCGAUACUUGGUGUGAAUUGCAGAAUCCCGUGAACCAUCGAGUCUUUGAACGCAAGUUGCGCCCGAAGUCACUAGGCUGAGGGUACGCCUGCCUGGGUGUCACGC
Molecule: ribosomal RNA, 163 nt
Filed under: Sinocarum coloratum
Lineage: Eukaryota; Viridiplantae; Streptophyta; Magnoliopsida; Apiales; Apiaceae
Description: 5.8S ribosomal RNA
Rfam family: 5.8S ribosomal RNA
About the family: 5.8S ribosomal RNA (5.8S rRNA) is a component of the large subunit of the eukaryotic ribosome. It is transcribed by RNA polymerase I as part of the 45S precursor that also contains 18S and 28S rRNA. Functionally, it is thought that 5.8S rRNA may be involved in ribosome translocation.
Source: RNAcentral